UCUAACAAUAUUUUUUUUUAAAAAAAUAAUACUUCCUACUCCACAAAAAAACUCGGUAAACGGCCCUAACUCGUUCAACUCGUUUGAUAACUGACUAUUUUUAUCAAAACAACAUCUCGAGUCCUAAUCUGGCGGAGCCAGCGAGCCAUCCUCAUCAAAAUACUCAUCCAAUAAGAGGAGAGCACACCGAUCGCGUUUCCUCAAAUUUCAUCUGCUACCCUCCUCAUCCUCCUCCUCAAGCUUCGUUCCCCAUCUCGAAAUCCUUCACCAUUCUCCUGAGAAGGACGCUAACUUCGAAGAAGGGGAAGCGCGUGAUCAUCUCCAUCUCCUCCUCCUCCUCCUCCGCCAAGGAAGAAGAAACUGAAGCGCAAGAAGAAGAUUCUGAGGAUGAAGAAUCCUCGAGACCACGCACACCGUCGGCCGCCUCCGCGCAGACCAAGCUUUUCCUCAGGAACUUGUCCACCGCCCAUGAGUGGGGAGUCGUCGGGACUACAUCGAGGCUAUGUGGCUCAUGCUGCAACAACACGAGCCCGAUGACAAUGUCAUCUCCACCGGGCAGCUCGCCUGCAGCUACCCCACCCUCAUCCUCCAUGAAGAUGGCAUCCCCAUCACCCUUUGUCUCUCCCCCUUCUAGGGUUUUGAUGUCCUCCCACUGUAAAGCUAUGGUUUUUGAUCAAUUCCUUAUUUUCUGAUAUUAGGAGAAAAUCAACACUUGGUGAAGGCCAUGAAUUUCUUUGUUAUUAAUACCAAAAAUUGUUGUUUUAAAGUGAAUCCUAUUCACUAUUUUUGAUUCAUUAAUUAGCUUAUUUAUCGAUGCAUAAUUGCUGGAUCUAUUACUCUA
Molecule: non-coding RNA, 841 nt
Organism: Phoenix dactylifera (date palm)
Lineage: Eukaryota; Viridiplantae; Streptophyta; Magnoliopsida; Arecales; Arecaceae
Source: RefSeq, a predicted model, not a curated record